RNAcentral lists this small RNA (95 nucleotides) under Arabidopsis thaliana (thale cress). RNAcentral's name for it is "ATSL263900". Lineage: Eukaryota; Viridiplantae; Streptophyta; Magnoliopsida; Brassicales; Brassicaceae. The record is from RNAcentral.
AUACUUAUAUUUGGUACAUCAAGAACUAGGUUUACAGAAACGGAAAAACAUUUAUGGGAAUGUCUUACAAUAAGAACUGAAAUAUUUUACAAAAA